AUUGAAUGCUGGCGGCAGGCCUAACACAUGCAAGUCGAACGGAGUGGCGGACGGGUGAGUAAUGUCUGGGAACUGCCUCAUAGCGGGGGAUAACUAUUGGAAACGAUAGCUAAUACCGCAUACUGUGAGAUGGACCUGCUUUGUAGUAGCUAGUUGGUGAGGUAAAGGCUCACCAAGGCGACGAUACAUAGCCGACCUGAGAGGGUUGUCCGCCAAACUGGGACUGGAGCACGGGCCCGACUCCUAAGGGGUGCAGCAGUAGGGAAUCAUUGGAAAGGGACGGAAGGCUGACCGAGCCACGGCGGGGGAGUGAAGAAGGGUUUCGGGUCGUAAAGGUAUGUUGUGAGAGGAGCGGUAACUACACAGAAAGGGACGGCUAACUACGUGCCAGCAGCCGCGGUAAUAC
This 406-nucleotide ribosomal RNA is filed under the name uncultured bacterium. RNAcentral describes it as "partial 16S ribosomal RNA". It matches the Rfam family "Bacterial small subunit ribosomal RNA", at positions 29 to 526 of the family's 1533-position model. The record is from RNAcentral.